Molecule: ribosomal RNA, 497 nt
Filed under: uncultured bacterium
Lineage: Bacteria
Description: partial 16S ribosomal RNA
Rfam family: Bacterial small subunit ribosomal RNA
Source: RNAcentral
GAUGAACGCUGGCGGCGUGCCUAAUACAUGCAAGUCGAGCGAACAGACGAGGAGCUUGCUCCUCUGACGUUAGCGGCGGACGGGUGAGUAACACGUGGAUAACCUACCUAUAAGACUGGGAUAACUUCGGGAAACCGGAGCUAAUACCGGAUAAUAUAUUGAACCGCAUGGUUCAGUAGUGAAAGACGGUUUUGCUGUCACUUAUAGAUGGAUCCGCGCCGCAUUAGCUAGUUGGUAAGGUAACGGCUUACCAAGGCAACGAUGCGUAGCCGAUCUGAGAGGGUGAUCGGCCACACUGGAACUGAGACACGGUCCAGACUCCUACGGGAGGCAGCAGUAGGGAAUCUUCCGCAAUGGGCGAAAGCCUGACGGAGCAACGCCGCGUGAGUGAUGAAGGUCUUCGGAUCGUAAAACUCUGUUAUUAGGGAAGAACAAAUGUGUAAGUAACUAUGCACGUCUUGACGGUACCUAAUCAGAAAGCCACGGCUAACUACGUG